GACAGAGGGUGCAAACGUUGUUCGGAAUUACUGGGCGUAAAGCGCGUGUAGGCGGCCAUGCAAGUCGGGUGUGAAAGCCCUGGGCUCAACCCAGGAAGUGCAUUCGAUACUGCGAGGCUUGAGUCCCGGAGAGGGUGGUAGAAUUCUCGGUGUAGAGGUGAAAUUCGUAGAUAUCGAGAGGAAUACCGGUGGCGAAGGCGGCCACCUGGACGGCGACUGACGCUGAGACGCGAAAGCGUGGGGAGCAAACAGG
This 253-nucleotide ribosomal RNA is filed under the name uncultured bacterium. RNAcentral describes it as "partial 16S ribosomal RNA". It matches the Rfam family "Bacterial small subunit ribosomal RNA", at positions 524 to 776 of the family's 1533-position model. The record is from RNAcentral.